This 253-nucleotide ribosomal RNA is filed under the name uncultured bacterium. RNAcentral describes it as "partial 16S ribosomal RNA". It matches the Rfam family "Bacterial small subunit ribosomal RNA", at positions 524 to 776 of the family's 1533-position model. The record is from RNAcentral.
UACGGGGGGGGCAAGCGUUGUUCGGAAUUACUGGGCGUAAAGGGCUCGUAGGUGGCCAACUAAGUCAGACGUGAAAUCCCUCAGCUUAACUGGGGAACUGCGUCUGAUACUGGAUGGCUUGAGUUUGGGAGAGGGAUGCGGAAUUCCAGGUGUAGCGGUGAAAUGCGUAGAUAUCUGGAGGAACACCGGUGGCGAAGGCGGCAUCCUGGACCAAUUCUGACGCUGAGGAGCGAAAGCCAGGGGAGCAAACGGG